GAUGAACGCUGGCGGCGUGCCUAAUACAUGCAAGUCGAGCGAACAGAUGAGGAGCUUGCUCCUCUGACGUUAGCGGCGGACGGGUGAGUAACACGUGGAUAACCUACCUAUAAGACUGGGAUAACUACGGGAAACCGGAGCUAAUACCGGAUAAUAUAUUGAACCGCAUGGUUCAAUAGUGAAAGACGGUUUUGCUGUCACUUAUAGAUGGAUCCGCGCCGCAUUAGCUAGUUGGUAAGGUAACGGCUUACCAAGGCAACGAUGCGUAGCCGACCUGAGAGGGUGAUCGGCCACACUGGAACUGAGACACGGUCCAGACUCCUACGGGAGGCAGCAGUGGGGAAUCUUCCGCAAUGGGCGAAAGCCUGACGCAGCAACGCCGCGUGAGUGAUGAAGGUCUUCGGAUCGUAAAGCUCUUUUAUUGGGAAAGAACAAAUGUGUAAUUAUCUCUGCACGUCUUGACGGUACCUAAUCAGAAAGCCACGGCUAAAUUCGUG
Molecule: ribosomal RNA, 497 nt
Filed under: uncultured bacterium
Lineage: Bacteria
Description: partial 16S ribosomal RNA
Rfam family: Bacterial small subunit ribosomal RNA
Source: RNAcentral